This 391-nucleotide unclassified non-coding RNA is filed under the name soil metagenome. RNAcentral describes it as "partial contains 5.8S ribosomal RNA, internal transcribed spacer 2, and large subunit ribosomal RNA". The stretch from base 1 to 122 matches the Rfam family "5.8S ribosomal RNA", at positions 35 to 154 of the family's 154-position model. The record is from RNAcentral.
GAUGAAGAACGCAGCAAAAUGCGAUACUUGGUGUGAAUUGCAGAAUCCCGUGAACCAUCGAGUCUUUGAACGCAAGUUGCGCCCGAAGCCAUUAGGCCGAGGGCACGCCUGCCUGGGCGUCACACGUCGUUGCCCCCCCAUCUACUCCUUCGGGAUUGCGGGGGGCGGAUGAUGGCCUCCCGUGCGCCUCGUCGCGCGGUUGGCAUAAAUGCCAAGUCCUCGGCGACACACGCCACGACAAUCGGUGGUUGCGAAACCUCGGUUGCCCGUCGUGUGCGGUCGUCGCGCAUCGAGGGCUCGAAAAAAUUGCCGGGCUCCGGCUCGGCUUUCAACGCGACCCCAGGUCAGGCGGGGUUACCCGCUGAAUUUAAGCAUAUCAAUAAGCGGAGGA